AUACUGUGAGCUCGAUGAGUAGGGCGGGACACGUGGUAUCCUGUCUGAAUAUGGGGGGACCAUCCUCCAAGGCUAAAUACUCCUGACUGACCGAUAGUGAACCAGUACCGUGAGGGAAAGGCGAAAAGAACCCCGGCGAGGGGAGUGAAAAAGAACCUGAAACCGUGUACGUACAAGCAGUGGGAGCACGCUUAGGCGUGUGACUGCGUACCUUUUGUAUAAUGGGUCAGCGACUUAUAUUCUGUAGCAAGGUUAACCGAAUAGGGGAGCCGAAGGGAAACCGAGUCUUAACUGGGCGUUAAGUUGCAGGGUAUAGACCCGAAACCCGGUGAUCUAGCCAUGGGCAGGUUGAAGGUUGGGUAACACUAACUGGAGGACCGAACCGACUAAUGUUGAAAAAUUAGCGGAUGACUUGUGGCUGGGGGUGAAAGGCCAAUCAAACCGGGAGAUAGCUGGUUCUCCCCGAAAGCUAUUUAGGUAGCGCCUCGUGAAUUCAUCUCCGGGGGUAGAGCACUGUUUCGGCAAGGGGGUCAUCCCGACUUACCAACCCGAUGCAAACUGCGAAUACCGGAGAAUGUUAUCACGGGAGACACACGGCGGGUGCUAACGUCCGUCGUGAAGAGGGAAACAACCCAGACCGCCAGCUAAGGUCCCAAAGUCAUGGUUAAGUGGGAAACGAUGUGGGAAGGCCCAGACAGCCAGGAUGUUGGCUUAGAAGCAGCCAUCAUUUAAAGAAAGCGUAAUAGCUCACUGGUCGAGUCGGCCUGCGCGGAAGAUGUAACGGGGCUAAACCAUGCACCGAAGCUGCGGCAGCGACGCUGAUGCGUUGUUGGGUAGGGGAGCGUUCUGUAAGCCUGUGAAGGUGUGCUGUGAGGCAUGCUGGAGGUAUCAGAAGUGCGAAUGCUGACAUAAGUAACGAUAAAGCGGGUGAAAAGCCCGCUCGCCGGAAGACCAAGGGUUCCUGUCCAACGUUAAUCGGGGCAGGGUGAGUCGACCCCUAAGGCGAGGCCGAAAGGCGUAGUCGAUGGGAAACAGGUUAAUAUUCCUGUACUUGGUGUUACUGCGAAGGGGGGACGGAGAAGGCUAUGUUGGCCGGGCGACGGUUGU
RNAcentral lists this ribosomal RNA (1107 nucleotides) under Escherichia coli. Its description in RNAcentral is "partial 23S ribosomal RNA". It matches the Rfam family "Bacterial large subunit ribosomal RNA", at positions 394 to 1505 of the family's 2925-position model. The record is from RNAcentral. Lineage: Bacteria; Pseudomonadati; Pseudomonadota; Gammaproteobacteria; Enterobacterales; Enterobacteriaceae.